This 397-nucleotide ribosomal RNA is filed under the name uncultured bacterium. RNAcentral's name for it is "bacterial SSU rRNA". It matches the Rfam family "Bacterial small subunit ribosomal RNA", at positions 30 to 431 of the family's 1533-position model. The record is from RNAcentral.
AUUGAACGCUGGCGGCAUGCCUUACACAUGCAAGUCGAACGGCAGCACGGGAGCAAUCCUGGUGGCGAGUGGCGAACGGGUGAGUAAUAUAUCGGAACGUGCCCGGUCGUGGGGAUAACGUAGCGAAAGCUACGCUAAUACCGCAUACGAUCUACGGAUGAAAGCGGGGGAUCGCAAGACCUCGCGCGAUUGGAGCGGCCGAUAUCAGAUUAGGUAGUUGGUGAGGUAAAGGCUCACCAAGCCGACGAUCUGUAGCUGGUCUGAGAGGACGACCAGCCACACUGGGACUGAGACACGGCCCAGACUCCUACGGGAGGCAGCAGUGGGAAUUUUGGACAAUGGGCGCAAGCCUGAUCCAGCAAUGCCGCGUGCAGGAUGAAGGCCUUCGGUUGUAACU